AGUGGAUCCACAUAAUUGUGAGUCGGGUACACCUAAUAAUUCCUCAUCCACCCACCUGAAUGUUUUUUUUUUCCUAAAAAUAUUGAAACUCUUGGCACACCUUCUGCGCUCACAGAGAGAAAGAUGGAAACUAAAUCUGUUGGCCUAUAUUCAACCUGCAGUCCAAGCCUGCAGCUUCUCGUACCUCUUCUUCUUACAUCUCUUCUAUUCGUACCAAACGUCCAAAACUCCUCAGCAGCAGCCAUCACCACCACCAAAACUUCUAAAACCACAUACACUAUGUACCUAAAAACAGCUUGCAAUACCACCAUAUGCCCAAAACUCUGCUACAGCUCUCUGUCUCCCUACACCUCUACUAUCAAAACCAAUGACCUCAGGCUCUGUAAAGCCGCAUUGACCCUGAAAGUUGCCAAAAAAACGUCUGCGCUGAUCAAAACUCCGUCAAGGCAGAAGGGAUUGAGCAAGCCUGAAGUUGGCGUUGUUCAAGAUUGCCAGGAUGAAAUCGGAGACAGCAUUGACGAGCUCAAGCAAGCAUUGCAGGCUUUAGGCAGUCUAAAGGGUACUAAUAAGAAUGUGGAAUUUCAGAUUGCUGACAUAAAAACCUGGGUUAGUGCAGCAAUUACCGAUGAAAGUGGCUGCACGGAUGGAUUUGAUGGCCUGAAAGUAAGCACUACGUUGAAGAACAAGAUCAGGAAUAUUAUAUCCAAAUUUAAUGGGCUCACUAGCAAUGCUCUGGCACUCAUUAACAAACUCGAUCAGUGACUUGUUCUAUGUAUUCUUCUUUUUUAUUCUUAGUUUUGAUCCUUUCGUAUGUAUCAAUCAUAUACGCAGGCCAGAUUCAAUCUUCAAAAUCCGAUUUCGCUUAGAAAGUUUAGAAAAAGAAAAUGAAGUUAAUUGAUAGUCAUAAAAUUAAUCUGAUAUGUAGUAAAUAAUUAUUUAAAUUAAAUAAAUACUUGAAUUUGAG
Molecule: unclassified non-coding RNA, 964 nt
Filed under: Hevea brasiliensis (rubber tree)
Lineage: Eukaryota; Viridiplantae; Streptophyta; Magnoliopsida; Malpighiales; Euphorbiaceae
Source: RNAcentral